AUAUUGGAAUCCAAACUUAAAGAUUGCAAUUUAUUGAUAAGCCUUCUAUGUGCAACAGUGUCAAAAGCCUUCCUGAAAUCUAGGUAAGCAAUGUCUACUGCACCACCCUGAUCUAUUAUUUUAGUUACCCAAUCAAAAAAAUCAAUAAGAUUAGUUUGGCAUGAUCUCCCUGAAGUAAACCCAUGUUGUCUCUGAUCUUGAAAUCCAUGUGUUUUUAGAAGUUCAACAAUCCUAUCCUUUGACAUGGUUUCCAUCACUUUCCCCACUACUGAAGUAAGGCUUACUGGCCUAUAGUUGCCCGACUCCUCCCUAUUACCUUUCUUGUAAAUGGGCACAACAUUCGCUAACUUCCAAUCUUCUGGGACUACUCCUGUUAACAAUGAUUGGUUAAAUAAAUCUGUUAAUGGUUUUGCU
This is a non-coding RNA of Pelobates cultripes (western spadefoot toad), 414 nucleotides long. The record is from the annotation of a GenBank genome assembly. NCBI's taxonomy places the organism in Eukaryota, Metazoa, Chordata, Amphibia, Anura, Pelobatidae.